AUUGAACGCUGGCGGCAGGCCUAACACAUGCAAGUCGAGCGGAUGAAGGGAGCUUGCUCCUGGAUUCAGCGGCGGACGGGUGAGUAAUGCCUAGGAAUCUGCCUGGUAGUGGGGGAUAACGUCCGGAAACGGGCGCUAAUACCGCAUACGUCCUGAGGGUGAAAGGGGGGGAUCUUCGGACCUCACGCUAUCAGAUGAGCCUAGGUCGGAUUAGCUAGUUGGUGGGGUAAAGGCCUACCAAGGCGACGAUCCGUAACUGGUCUGAGAGGAUGAUCAGUCACACUGGAACUGAGACACGGUCCAGACUCCUACGGGAGGCAGCAGUUGGGAAUAUUGGACAAUGGGCUAAAGCCUGAUCAAGCCAUGCCGCGUGUGUGAAGAAGGUCUUCGGAUCGUAAAGCACUUUAAGUUGGGAGGAAGGGCAGUAAGUUAAUACCUUGCUGUUUUGACGUUACCAACAGAAUAAGCACCGGCUAACUUCGUG
RNAcentral lists this ribosomal RNA (484 nucleotides) under uncultured bacterium. Its description in RNAcentral is "partial 16S ribosomal RNA". It matches the Rfam family "Bacterial small subunit ribosomal RNA", at positions 30 to 507 of the family's 1533-position model. The record is from RNAcentral.